Molecule: ribosomal RNA, 1311 nt
Filed under: Micrococcus sp.
Lineage: Bacteria; Bacillati; Actinomycetota; Actinomycetes; Micrococcales; Micrococcaceae
Description: bacterial SSU rRNA
Source: RNAcentral
GUUUGAUCCUGGCUCAGSAUGAACGCYGGCGGCGUGCUUAACACAUGCAAGUCGAACGAUGAAGCCCAGCUUSCUGGGUGGAUUAGUGGCGAACGGGUGAGUAACACGUGAGUAACCUGCCCUUAACUCUGGGAUAAGCCUGGGAAACUGGGUCUAAUACCGGAUAGGAGCGUCCACCGCAUGGUGGGUGUUGGAAAGAUUUAUCGGUUUUGGAUGGACUCGCGGCCUAUCAGCUUGUUGGUGAGGUAAUGGCUCACCAAGGCGACGACGGGUAGCCGGCCUGAGAGGGUGACCGGCCACACUGGGACUGAGACACGGCCCAGACUCCUACGGGAGGCAGCAGUGGGGAAUAUUGCACAAUGGGCGMAAGCCUGAUGCAGCGACGCCGCGUGAGGGAUGACGGCCUUCGGGUUGUAAACCUCUUUCAGUAGGGAAGAAGCGAAAGUGACGGUACCURCAGAAGAAGCACCGGCUAACUACGUGCCAGCAGCCGCGGUAAUACGUAGGGUGCGAGCGUUAUCCGGAAUUAUUGGGCGUAAGAGCUCGUAGGCGGUUUGUCGCGUCUGUCGUGAAAGUCCGGGGCUUAACCCCGGAUCUGCGGUGGGUACGGGCAGACUAGAGUGCAGUAGGGGAGACUGGAAUUCCUGGUGUAGCGGUGGAAUGCGCAGAUAUCAGGAGGAACACCGAUGGCGAAGGCAGGUCUCUGGGCUGUAACUGACGCUGAGGAGCGAAAGCAUGGGGAGCGAACAGGAUUAGAUACCCUGGUAGUCCAUGCCGUAAACGUUGGGCACUAGGUGUGGGGACCAUUCCACGGUUUCCGCGCCGCAGCUAACGCAUUAAGUGCCCCGCCUGGGGAGUACGGCCGCAAGGCUAAAACUCAAAGGAAUUGACGGGGGCCCGCACAAGCGGCGGAGCAUGCGGAUUAAUUCGAUGCAACGCGAAGAACCUUACCAAGGCUUGACAUGUUCUCGAUCGCCGUAGAGAUACGGUUUCCCCUUUGGGGCGGGUUCACAGGUGGUGCAUGGUUGUCGUCAGCUCGUGUCGUGAGAUGUUGGGUUAAGUCCCGCAACGAGCGCAACCCUCGUUCCAUGUUGCCAGCACGUCGUGGUGGGGACUCAUGGGAGACUGCCGGGGUCAACUCGGAGGAAGGUGAGGACGACGUCAAAUCAUCAUGCCCCUUAUGUCUUGGGCUUCACGCAUGCUACAAUGGCCGGUACAAUGGGUUGCGAUACUGUGAGGUGGAGCUAAUCCCAAAAAGCCGGUCUCAGUUCGGAUUGGGGUCUGCAACUCGACCCCAUGAAGUCGGAGUCG